CCGAUGCUACCAGUUGGGGCAAGGAAGCCCUGAGAACCAGUAUAUUACAAAGGUUGUUUCUGUCGCCUGUCUGUCCCCACUAGAAGUUACCUGUGUAACUGGAGAAACCAUAAGAUGCUCCAUAGGAAAAAGGACACCAACCCAGUGAAUGCCAGAAUGGAGAGUGGAUCCGCUUACAGUCCUUCCUGGGAUACAGUAAUGGUGAUCGAAGUCAGGGCCUUUCUCUUGGCAGCACCACUGAGCUAAAUCCCUGGCCCAAAAUGAUCAGAUUUUUAAGAAGUUUGACCCUUCAUCUGACAGCCUGAUGGCCUCUUAUCUAAACCUGAAAAAAUCUCUCCAGG
This is a long non-coding RNA of Fukomys damarensis (Damara mole-rat), 341 nucleotides long. RefSeq lists it as uncharacterized. NCBI's taxonomy places the organism in Eukaryota, Metazoa, Chordata, Mammalia, Rodentia, Bathyergidae. The record is from RefSeq and is a predicted model, not a curated record. The transcript has 3 exons.